Molecule: unclassified non-coding RNA, 2684 nt
Filed under: Manduca sexta (tobacco hornworm)
Lineage: Eukaryota; Metazoa; Arthropoda; Insecta; Lepidoptera; Sphingidae
Description: uncharacterized LOC115446269, transcript variant X1
Source: RNAcentral
GAUCUCUAUUUUUUACAAAGUUUACUAAACGAUCGUAUAUAAAUUCGAAGGCGACAAAAAUUCGGCAUAAUCACUAUAGACGCAAAGCAUUCAUCAUGAAAUCUGCCAAAGUAUUUCUACUAAUAGCAAUGAUAGCAGUUAUGCUAUUAUCAGUUGCCGCCCAGAACGGUUUCGGACGCCCGGGCAGCAACAGUGGUUUCGGCGGACGACCCUCAGGUAGCCGACCAAACUUUGGCGGCAGACCUGGUUCUGGAAACAGCGGAUGGUUUGGAGGCACCAGGCCCGGCCCCAACGGACCGGGGACUGGAUUUGAAUAUUAAUAUCUGAAAAUACGGGCUUGUGAUUUGAUUUUAUGUAAACAUACUAUAGGAAUAUAUUUACUCUAAUUAUCGUAAUAAAAAAGUGCAAUCAGUUAACGCUACCAUUAUUUCUCUAUACAUAGACACCAUGUAUGUUUUAUCCUAUGAGCUUUAAUAAAUACUGCGAUUCGACAACAAACAAAUAAAUAAUAAGCAUUUUCUUCAAAUUACGAGUGACGACGCCUUUCAUAAAUAGGUUUCAUCCGCAUGCAUUGACGAAUUGCGUGUAAAUAUUAAUUGUAAAUGUGCUAAGUACCGUGAAAGUGUUAAGAAUUAAUUAAAUUGUUUUUAGUAUAUAAUUGCUACUUUAAAGUUACGCACGCAAAUCACAUUGCUAUUAUCUUAUUCAUGUAACAUCGCCCUCUUGUUUUAAAACCUUGUCCAUUGUGCAAUAUAUACUCAAUUAUGUACUCAUCUCUUGCGAAAUAUCUUCAUUUUGGCUUUCACUUGACAAAUUAACUUCUUAGAUGGUUUCGCAUUAUUUUCUUAUAAGUAAUAUAGUUUUUAUCCAAGUGUUUUCACUUAAUUAACUUUUCACAUUUUAAUUUCGAUUUUGACGCUACUGUCUCAAUUUCUGUUCAUUUAAUAAUUUUAAGUAGUAUAUAAUUUAUAAUAAUUGCAGUUAAGAUUUAAUGAUUUUAUUCGCGUUAUCGAAUUCUCUAGACAGAUGAGUAAACAUAGUCGCAUGACAUACUUGUGAUAAAAUAUCCGGAAUAUUAUUUGGAUACCAAAAUAAAUAUUAGCAGUUACAAGUUAGAAGUUCUCAAACAUUGUCAAUAGCGAUAAUAUGAAUUGAAAUAGCGUAGAUAAUAUGAAUUCGCCGACUGCCAUAUAUGAAACUGCGUAGGUACUACGAAUUCUGCAAAUUGAUAUAACAUCAUGCCAUAUGUCUUAGGAGUAAGCAGAGGUCCAUCAAAAUAUCAUCAUGUUAACAAUUGGCAAAUCACAAUGAAUAGGUCACCAACACUGCGGCAUAUUUUAUUUGAAUCAUUAGAAUUCAAUAAGAAAUGUGCCUUGCAUUAUUUAUUAUAAUAGCUAUAUUAACGCCUUGAUUGAAUAAAGUACCAAUUUUCGAUGAUUUCUAAAACUUUCUCGAAUUUUCAAGGAAAAGAUAUCUCGACUAUUCAUAAAACCUGCACAAAAUUGAUCAAUAUUAUUAACAAUACUUAAAAAUGUAUAUAAUCGCAGUUUGAGAUCAACUGAUUUCAUCGCUUCUCGGAAAACGAAUGUAAAUAUUCCAUAUAUAGAGACAUAGGUAUAGAGGUAUGUACUACGUAUUACUUCAAUGUCUAAAGCAAACAAAAGGCACAAAAAGAUCAAGCAUCGUCUAAUACACACGUACUGACUUAUGCAUAUAAUGGGAAUCUUCAAGUUCACACUUAUAGUAUCUGCACUGACCUUGUUAGUCCCUGAUGUAAGCGCCUAUUAUCGCGGCGGCUACGGAGGCUACUAUAACGGUUUUAACGUCUUGGGAAAUGGAAGUCCAAGUUUUGGAGGUGGAUAUAGACAACUUGGCCACAAUGGCAUCGCUUAUGAAGCAGCAUCGGGUCUCAGUGGAAUCGGUCAUGGCGGCCAUACUCUGAGCGGUUUGAAUACCAAUUUAAACAACAUCAAUCGAGGCAUUGAAGGUACAUAUUAUAGACAAAAUAACCUCGCUCAUGGGGCAGCUCCAGGCCUCAGUGGUUUUGGCCAAAAUCAUUACGGCCUUAGUGGAUUCGGCCCAGGCGGCCAUAGUCUGAGCGGUUUUCGACAAAGAAAGCACAGACUAAGCGGUUUUGGCCCGGGACCUUUUGAACAAAACGAUUUUAGGCAGUACUAUAGAAAUGGUUACCGCCGUUAAAGGAAUUUAUCGAGAAACGCCCCCAUUAAAGUAAUAUGGCGCUGACGUCGUACAAUGUUUUAUAGAGUUUUGUAUCGGGAAAGGUGUUCCACGCAAACGAAGGCACGAGUGGGCAUGGCAAAGUGACGCCACUGCACCUAAUGGUAAACGGACUGGGGUCCAAUAGAAUUUUGACUUACGAGAGAUGAUUACCCCUCGACAGUCGACACAAUUAUGCCGGCCUGUUGGAAUCGAAUAUACACAGGCUGAUCCCAGGACGCGACACACUGACGUGGGCCACUAUGCUCGGUUUUAACAUCUUACGGAACCAUGGCAGGCGUAAAACUUCUUUUUACAAUUAUCGUCAUAGCAAUGGUGAUAUCGACUUGCAAAGGGGGUAUUUUAGAAAAUAUAUUCCAAUACAUCUUCCAGCAAGCGACGGGCAAGCGCAGUAUCUCAGAAGCCAUCACGGAUUACCUCGACGUGGCAUUUCCUAAGGACGAUAA